This 545-nucleotide small nucleolar RNA is filed under the name Rosa hybrid cultivar. RNAcentral describes it as "RNA U3-2". The stretch from base 427 to 545 matches the Rfam family "Plant small nucleolar RNA U3", at positions 1 to 119 of the family's 221-position model. The record is from RNAcentral. Lineage: Eukaryota; Viridiplantae; Streptophyta; Magnoliopsida; Rosales; Rosaceae.
CGUCGAUGAUGAACAUAGUGAUAAACUACCGAGUCAAAGGAAAGCAGGAGCUCUCUAUCUGGAUCAUUAAGAGAGUAAUAGAGUUGUAAAACAGAUCGUAUUAAGUUGGUGAGGAGCGUGGAAUCAUCCAUAGAGUUUUAGCUCACCAUGAGAGCAGGAGUGAAACCAUUUGAUCAUUUUAAAUAAAUAAGAUGAAAAAAAAAAAAUCCAUAGUGUUUUAGCUAAAACAGAUGGAUGAAUCAGUAUGCGAGCAAUGAUGGUCAGUACUUUGUUAAUAUAAAAAGGCGAGAGCAACUCCCUAGUUUAGGCGAGAACAAUAGUGGAGGAAGACAAAUACUCCUAUAGUUGACAAUAGGGAGCAACACCCACAUCGAGAAACGGUAAAGGGCGGGAUCGUAUAAAUAAGAAAGCACGUGCAGAUAGGUCACGACCUUACUUGAACAGGAUCUGUUCUAUAGGAUCGUACCUCUGUGUCCUUGACUUCUAAGGAGACAGGAAUCUAAACCUGGUUGAUGAAUCAUGGCCAUGCGAUCAGAGCGUGAUUA